GGGGAUUUAGCUCAGCGGUAGAGCGCUUGCCUAGCGAGCACAAGGACCUGGGUUCGGUCCCCAGCUCCG
This 69-nucleotide transfer RNA is filed under the name Rattus norvegicus (Norway rat). It matches the Rfam family "tRNA". From Rfam's summary of the family: Transfer RNA (tRNA) molecules are approximately 80 nucleotides in length. Their secondary structure includes four short double-helical elements and three loops (D, anti-codon, and T loops). Further hydrogen bonds mediate the characteristic L-shaped molecular structure. tRNAs have two regions of fundamental functional importance: the anti-codon, which is responsible for specific mRNA codon recognition, and the 3' end, to which the tRNAs corresponding amino acid is attached (by aminoacyl-tRNA synthetases). tRNAs cope with the degeneracy of the genetic code in two manners: having more than one tRNA (with a specific anti-codon) for a particular amino acid; and 'wobble' base-pairing, i.e. permitting non-standard base-pairing at the 3rd anti-codon position. Lineage: Eukaryota; Metazoa; Chordata; Mammalia; Rodentia; Muridae. The record is from Rfam by way of RNAcentral.